CGGACGGGUGAGUAAUGUCUGGGAAACUGCCCGAUGGCGGGGGAUAACUACUGGAAACGGUAGCUAAUACCGCAUAACGUCGCAAGACCAAAGAGGGGACCUUCGGGCCUCUUGCCAUCGGAUGUGCCCAGAUGGGAUUAGCUAGUAGGUGGGGUAAAGGCUCACCUAGGCGACGAUCCCUAGCUGGUCUGAGAGGAUGACCAGCCACACUGGAACUGAGACACGGUCCAG
This 231-nucleotide ribosomal RNA is filed under the name uncultured bacterium. RNAcentral describes it as "partial 16S ribosomal RNA". It matches the Rfam family "Bacterial small subunit ribosomal RNA", at positions 99 to 334 of the family's 1533-position model. The record is from RNAcentral.